This is a long non-coding RNA of Amphiprion ocellaris (clown anemonefish), 771 nucleotides long. The record is from Ensembl. Lineage: Eukaryota; Metazoa; Chordata; Actinopteri; Pomacentridae.
UGUGACGCAGACGGUUCACUUCACAAGACCGGGGUCAACCACGGCUACCAGCAUGAUCGACGGUGCUUCAAUGCACAAUGAGGGAUGUCUGCAGCGACUGAGAAAGAGUCUCACCACAUCCUGACAUGAGGAAAAAGACUUUAUUGAAGACUACAAUGAGAAAAACUAUCAGACAGCAGACGGCUGCAUUCAAGGAGGAAGACCAUCAAACAUCCACGUCAGCUGAUGGAGGUCCAAGAGUCUCACCCAACAAACAACCUACUGAGUGAAGACCUCGAAUCUGAUUGGACGGCCUCCUAUUCAGCCACUUUAGGCUGUUAGAUUGUUCCAGAUAAGACAAGUACAAGAUUCUUCAGAGCCGUUCUACCAUGAGCCUGACAGGAAGAACUCCAACAGCUACUGAAUGUUCCUGUGGUUCCCUCAAGGCUACAGGAGGAGUCCUACGAGGACGAGCCGGUCCACCUGAUGGAGGCCAGUCGCUGCGAUUCAAAGCCAACACAGACUACGUGGACUUCUACUGGACCACAUGGAGGCCUUCAAACUGGACCAACAAGUUCACAGACUCCCCGACUCGUGGGUCUGAGGACGCUGCCGAGCCUCGGUCCAGCCGGCCUCCUGUCUGUGGAUGUUUGAGUGCUGAGAGGUUUGUGGAUGUAUGUGAACGUUCUGUGUUGAAACAGCAGCUUUGGACUCAGUAACGCCGGGAAAAACCAAGAGCUCCUUUAUUUGUGACUUCCACUAAAAAACUGAAGAAAAUAAGUUUGACAGGGU